CCUACGGGUGGCUGCAGUGAGGAAUAUUGGUCAAUGGGCGCUAGCCUGAACCAGCCAAGUCGCGUGAAGGAUGACUGCCCUACGGGUUGUAAACUUCUUUUAUCAGGGAAUAAAGUGCAGUAUGUGUCCUUCUUUGCAUGUACCUUAUGAAUAAGGAUCGGCUAACUCCGUGCCAGCAGCCGCGGUAAUACGGAGGAUCCGAGCGUUAUCCGGAUUUAUUGGGUUUAAAGGGAGCGUAGGCGGGUUGUUAAGUCAGUUGUGAAAGUUUGCGGCUCAACCGUAAAAUUGCAGUUGAUACUGGCAGCCUUGAGUACAGUAGAGGUAGGCGGAAUUCGUGGUGUAGCGGUGAAAUGCGUAGAUAUCACGAAGAACUCCGAUUGCGAAGGCAGCCUACUGGACUGUAACUGACGCUGAUGCUCGAAAGUGUGGGUAUCAAACAGGAUUAGAUACCCCUGUAGUC
Molecule: ribosomal RNA, 460 nt
Filed under: uncultured bacterium
Lineage: Bacteria
Description: partial 16S ribosomal RNA
Rfam family: Bacterial small subunit ribosomal RNA
Source: RNAcentral